UCCUCCCUCUUUCUUCGUGCCUAAUACAUGCAAGUCGAACGAGAGCAACCGGUGCUUGCACUGGUCAAUCUAGUGGCGAACGGGUGAGUAACACGUGGGUAACCUGCCCAUCAGAGGGGGAUAACAUCCGGAAACGGAUGCUAAAACCGCAUAGGUCUUCGAACCGCAUGGUUUGAAGAGGAAAAGAGGCGCAAGCUUCUGCUGAUGGAUGGACCCGCGGUGCAUUAGCUAGUUGGUGAGGUAACGGCUCACCAAGGCCGUGAUGCAUAGCCGACCUGAGAGGGUGAUCGGCCACAUUGGGACUGAGACACGGCCCAAACUCCUACGGGAGGCAGCAGUAGGGAAUCUUCCGCAAUGGACGCAAGUCUGACGGAGCAACGCCGCGUGAGUGAAGAAGGUUUUCGGAUCGUAAAACUCUGUUGUUAGAGAAGAACAAGUGCUAGAGUAACUGUUAGCGCCUUGACGGUAUCUAACCAGAAAGCCACGGCUAACUACGUG
RNAcentral lists this ribosomal RNA (498 nucleotides) under uncultured bacterium. Its description in RNAcentral is "partial 16S ribosomal RNA". It matches the Rfam family "Bacterial small subunit ribosomal RNA", at positions 36 to 507 of the family's 1533-position model. The record is from RNAcentral.